Non-coding RNA from Xyrichtys novacula (pearly razorfish), 138 nucleotides. Lineage: Eukaryota; Metazoa; Chordata; Actinopteri; Labriformes; Labridae. The record is from the annotation of a GenBank genome assembly.
ACGGUGGCCCUAAAGUGCAAAACACAACAGCAAAAAGAGAAAAAACAAUGGCAAAUAAGAAAACACAACGGUUAAUGUCAUUGUGGGUUUUUUUUUUCUUAUUUUUGCCGUAGUGUUUUGCACCUCAGGGCCACCGUA